RNAcentral lists this ribosomal RNA (437 nucleotides) under uncultured bacterium. RNAcentral describes it as "bacterial SSU rRNA". It matches the Rfam family "Bacterial small subunit ribosomal RNA", at positions 341 to 792 of the family's 1533-position model. The record is from RNAcentral.
ACGGGAGGCAGCAGUGGGGAAUAUUGGGCAAUGGGCGAAAGCCUGACCCAGCAACGCCGCGUGAGGGAUGAAUGUUUUCGGAUUGUAAACCUCUGUCCUCAGGGACGAAGGAAGUGACGGUACCUGAGGAGGAAGCCCCGGCUAACUACGUGCCAGCAGCCGCGGUAAUACGUAGGGGGCGAGCGUUGUCCGGAAUGACUGGGCGUAAAGGGCGCGUAGGCGGCUGUGUAAGUCUGGAGUGAAAGUCCUGCUUUUAAGGUGGGAAUUGCUUUGGAGACUGCAUGGCUUGAGUGCGGAAGAGGCAAGUGGAAUUCCCAGUGUAGCGGUGAAAUGCGUAGAGAUUGGGAAGAACACCAGUGGCGAAGGCGACUUGCUGGGCCGUAACUGACGCUGAGGCGCGAAAGCGUGGGGAGCGAACAGGAUUAGAUACCCUGGUA